Dasypus novemcinctus (nine-banded armadillo) is the source of this 790-nucleotide long non-coding RNA. The record is from Ensembl. Lineage: Eukaryota; Metazoa; Chordata; Mammalia; Cingulata; Dasypodidae.
GGGAAAGAGGAAGUUUGGAAAUGGCUCUCCUGCUCUGUCCAGGGCUGGCACUGCUGCUGCUGCUGUUCUUGGCAGGUCCUGUACUAGGUUCCACAUAAGAGACCCGAACGGCCUCAGCAAGCUUGCCGUCUGCUCUAGCACAGCCUCAGAGAUCUCCCGGCAAGUCAAGUUCAAAUCUGAUGACCAAAGGGCUCCUAAAGCCUCAUACCCAUUGCUGAGAGAGAAACCCAUCACUUGGGGAAAUAUGACUGAACUUCAUUCAGACUCUAAUGAAAAGAAGAGAUACUCAUGCUCGUUUCACGACACCCAUUCUCUGGCUGCCACCCCAGCACGUAAGGCAUUGAGUAAACAAUGUAGAGCGUCUUCCCACUGGCGGGCGGUUUGAACCGCCCCACCUCUGCUGUGGCGCAGGCAAAGCCUCUGGUGAGUCGUGGCUGGGAGGGUGGGGGUAUGGGGAAGGGAGGGAGAUGGGCCGCUGGCUUCCACCCACGGCCGAUGACCUCGAACAAACCCCCCAUUUUGUUUUCUUCAUGUAAAUGAGAUGAUGGGAUGACACAGGUGCCCUCCAGCAAGAGCUGAGAAAUCCUUCAGACUCGAGACCCUGGCAGUUUGGAUGGUCUUUCUUUAAUAACCCCCCGACACCCGGUGGGGGCUCUGGCCACUCAGCGGGAUGGCAAAUUGGAAGAUGGGGAGCUCUGAGACCCCCCCCCAGGCGCGCCUCAGUUCCCUGUGCGUGGGCCACUGCGAGCGCCGCUGUCAUCCACAACCUCUCCUGCAGCAGGGCCACCCG